Long non-coding RNA from Hypanus sabinus (Atlantic stingray), 987 nucleotides. RefSeq lists it as uncharacterized. The transcript has 3 exons. The record is from RefSeq and is a predicted model, not a curated record. Lineage: Eukaryota; Metazoa; Chordata; Chondrichthyes; Myliobatiformes; Dasyatidae.
ACGUCAAACAUGACAAACCGGCUCAGUCAUCGUUUCCAGGGGAACAGACCGGGGCGGGCAGUUGGUCCGGGAUGGUGGGCACGGGGUUGUGGUAAAGUGGAUUCGGUCUCUACUUUGUGUUUCGGCUCCACUGUGGGAAUCGGCCUCUCCUCUUCCUGCCCUCGGAGUGUCUGUCAGCGCCUCACCGCACCGGCUCUUUGCCUCAGCCCAGAUUUUAAUCAGCAGCCUGGAGACUGAAGGAGUCACACGGAACUAUGGAAGACCCCUCACUACCUGAAAUCCUUGGCAACAUCAUUGAGCGAUGGUGGUAUAGUGAUUCAGCAAGAAUGGACAUUUCACAGGAAGGAUCGACAGGAUUUAUAAAGCAUUGCCCGGACGUUGCCUGAUUAAUGUGUUUGAGCUUUUAUUGUAAUGUCAGAGCUUGAGAUGAAACUUGAUCGAAUUAUGAGGUAGAAAGUUAUGAGAGACUGGGCAACACGAGUGAAUCUGCAGAUGCUGGAAAUGAAUAAAAACACAAAAUGCUGGCAGAUCUCAGCAGGCCAGACAGCAUCUAUGGGAGGAGGGAGUGACGACGUCUGCCAGCAUUUUGUUUUUUUUUUGAGAGACAUAGAUUAGGCAGAGUCAGAAUGGGUUCCCAGGGUAAGGAUUUGAAAUUCUAGUGGGAAUGAAUGUAAGGUCGGAGUGGGAGAGAGUUUAAAGAAGAUGUGCGGCUCACGUUUUCAGACGGAGUGGGGCGGGUGCUAGGAACGGGCUGCCAGGUUCAGAGACGGAAGGGUGUACGAUGUUUUUAGAUAGACACAUGAAUAUGUUAGUGUGCAGCGACAUGGAUAGAGGCACAGAGAUAAAAUCGCAGGUGAUGGAAAUCCAAGCAACACAGAAAAUGUUGGAAGAAGUCAGCAGGCCAUGUAGCACCUGUGGGAAAAAUAGAGUGGACGUUUCGGGCCGAGUCCCUUCAUCCCGGCUGGAGAAACAACAACGAGGAAUCAG